Molecule: transfer RNA, 65 nt
Filed under: Hymenocera picta
Lineage: Eukaryota; Metazoa; Arthropoda; Malacostraca; Decapoda; Palaemonidae
Description: tRNA-Leu
Source: RNAcentral
AUCACUUUGGCAGAAAAAUGUGUCGGAUUUAGGAUCCGUUUAUAUAGUUAAUACUAUAUGUGAUA